RNAcentral lists this small nucleolar RNA (85 nucleotides) under Leersia perrieri. RNAcentral's name for it is "snoRNA U54". It matches the Rfam family "Small nucleolar RNA U54". Rfam says of the family: U54 is a C/D box small nucleolar RNA, which acts as a methylation guide for 18S ribosomal RNA in plants. Lineage: Eukaryota; Viridiplantae; Streptophyta; Magnoliopsida; Poales; Poaceae. The record is from Rfam by way of RNAcentral.
UGCUCAAUGAUUAAGCCAUGUUUUUAUGGCAAUAUACGCUAUUCUGAAUCAUAUUAAGUAAGAUGUCAUAAACACUAUGAGAGCA